This 393-nucleotide ribosomal RNA is filed under the name uncultured bacterium. RNAcentral describes it as "bacterial SSU rRNA". It matches the Rfam family "Bacterial small subunit ribosomal RNA", at positions 28 to 428 of the family's 1533-position model. The record is from RNAcentral.
GACGAACGCUGGCGGCGUGCUUAACACAUGCAAGUCGAACGGUGAAGCCUUCGGGUGGAUCAGUGGCGAACGGGUGAGUAACACGUGAGCAAUCUGCCCUUGACUCUGGGAUAACUUCGGGAAGCCGGAGCUAAUACCGGAUAUGACAUCUGGCCGCAUGGUCUGGGUGUGGAAAGAUUUAUCGGUCAAGGAUGAGCUCGCGGCCUAUCAGCUUGUUGGNGGGGUAAUGGCCCACCAAGGCGACGACGGGUAGCCGGCCUGAGAGGGCGACCGGCCACACUGGGACUGAGACACGGCCCAGACUCCUACGGGAGGCAGCAGUGGGGAAUAUUGCGCAAUGGGCGGAAGCCUGACGCAGCGACGCCGCGUGAGGGAUGAAGGCCUCGGUCGUAA